This 301-nucleotide ribosomal RNA is filed under the name uncultured bacterium. Its description in RNAcentral is "partial 16S ribosomal RNA". It matches the Rfam family "Bacterial small subunit ribosomal RNA", at positions 509 to 807 of the family's 1533-position model. The record is from RNAcentral.
CAGCCGCCGCGGGAACACGUAGGGUGCGAGCGUUAAUCGGAAUUACUGGGCGUAAAGCGUGCGUAGGUGGUGGUUUAAGUCCGUUGUGAAAGCCCUGGGCUCAACCUGGGAAUUGCAGUGGAUACUGGGUCACUAGAGUGUGGUAGAGGAUAGUGGAAUUUCCGGUGUAGCAGUGAAAUGCGUAGAGAUCGGAAGGAACAUCUGUGGCGAAGGCGGCUAUCUGGGCCAACACUGACACUGAGGCACGAAAGCGUGGGGAGCAAACAGGAUUAGAUACCCGUGUAGUCCCUGUCUCUUAUAC